CUCUGAUCCACCUCUACGCAGACGACACCAUUCUGUAUACUUCUGGCCCUUCUUUGGACACUGUGUUAACUACCCUCCAGACGAGCUUCAAUGCCAUACAACUCUGUGUCUGGUUAGACUGUAAGCUCUCCUUCCAGACUCACAUCAAACAUCUCCAAUCUAAAGUUAAAUCUAGAAUUGGCUUCCUAUUUCGCAACAAAGCAUCCUUCACUCAUGCUGCCAAACAUACCCUCGUAAAACUGACCAUCCUACAGAUCCUCGACUUUGGCGAUGUCAUUUACAAAAUUGCCUCCAAUACCCUACUCAAUAAACUGGAUGCAGUCUAUCACAGUGCCAUCCGUUUUGUCACCAAAGCCCCAUAUACUACCCACCACUGCGACCUGUACGCUCUCGUUGGCUGGCCCUCGCUUCAUACUCGUCGCCAAAUCCACUGGCUUCAGCUCAUCAACAAGACCCUGCUAGGUAAAGUCCCCCCUUAUCUCCGCUCACUGGUCACCAUAGCAGCACCCACCUGUAGCACGCGCUCCAGCAGGUAUAUCUCUCUGGUCACCCCCAAAGCCAAUUCCUCCUUUGGCCGUCUCCUCUCCUUCCAGUUCUCUGCUGCCAAUGACUGGAACGAACUACAAAAAAUCUCUGAAACUGGAAACACUUAUCUCCCUCACUAGCUUUAAGCACCAGCUGUCAGAGCAGCUCACAGAUCACUGCACCUCUACAUAGCCCAUUUAUAAUUUAGCCCAAACUACUACCUCUUCCCCUACUGUAUUUAUUUAUUUUACUCCUUUGCACCCCAUUAUUUCUAUUUCUACUUUCUUCUACUACAAAUCUACCAUUCCAGUGUUUUACUUAGUAUAUUGUAUGUACUUCGCCACCAUGGCCUAUUUAUUGCCUUUACCUCCCUUAUCUCACCUCAUUUGCUCACAUUGUAUAUAGACUUAUUUUUCUACUGUAUUAUUGACUGUAUGUUUGUUUUACUCCGUGUGUAACUCUGUGUUGUUGUAUGUGUCAAACUGCUUUGCUUUAUCUUGGCCAGGUCGCAAUUGUAAAUGAGAACUUGUUCUCAACUAGACUACCUGGUUAAAUAAAGGACUUGUUCUCAACUGGCCUACCUGGUUAAAUAAAAGGUGGGCUGUGGAACUGUAGAGCUGCACAUUAACAAACCUGUCACCCUGUCCAUUCCUCUGUCCCCAGGUGAGUCUGCUGAGCUAUUUAACUGUAGAGCUGCACAUUAACAAACCUGUCACCCUGUUGUCAGCAACCAGCAGACAGUUCCCUGAGGAAGGAUGCAAUGGUCAAGGCUGUCAAUGACCAGAUUAUGGGGAUGACUAAACG
RNAcentral lists this long non-coding RNA (1329 nucleotides) under Salmo salar (Atlantic salmon). RNAcentral describes it as "lncRNA (ENSSSAG00000121507.1)". The record is from RNAcentral. Lineage: Eukaryota; Metazoa; Chordata; Actinopteri; Salmoniformes; Salmonidae.